UCAUGCGAAACGCACCGCGGCAGGGGCGGGGGAACCAGGUAAGUCGCCCUGGGCAGGUCCACGGACCGGUCCGGGGCUUGGGGUGAAGCCGUGCGCGCCGAGAGGCGUGCGCGGCCGGGCAACUCCGGCCCGAAUCCGACAGCUCACCUCGCAGGCGUGGGAGAGGAACG
RNAcentral lists this small RNA (170 nucleotides) under Kitasatospora cheerisanensis. RNAcentral's name for it is "c-di-AMP sequence". It matches the Rfam family "c-di-AMP riboswitch aptamer (ydaO/yuaA leader)". Rfam says of the family: This family represents a conserved RNA structure found upstream of the ydaO and yuaA genes in Bacillus subtilis and related genes in other bacteria. The record is from RNAcentral. Lineage: Bacteria; Bacillati; Actinomycetota; Actinomycetes; Kitasatosporales; Streptomycetaceae.